RNAcentral lists this ribosomal RNA (375 nucleotides) under Triticum aestivum (bread wheat). Its description in RNAcentral is "partial small subunit ribosomal RNA". The record is from RNAcentral. Lineage: Eukaryota; Viridiplantae; Streptophyta; Magnoliopsida; Poales; Poaceae.
AUGGUAGAAUAUUCAAACUCAAACAUUUUUGCUGUUGGGAAGAAGAUACCAACUGAUUCUGAUCAGUGUGUACAUUGGAAUAACCUCUAUAAAAAGCUAGUGUACAAGCUUAUAGUCACCUUAGUCGAUCAAGUAGCUCAUUACAACUGUUCCAAGCCUCAAAAACAGGUACCAUUUUCUUUCGUGGAAGCAGUAAGCAAGCAAACCCGCGCGUCCAGGUCUGGAGGCCAAGCCUGCACUUGCUGCAAUCAUAUUUGGAAUGAAUCUACCAUAGCCUUCAGAAUCUUUUCCGACGACUGCCACUGCUUGUCGCUGGCGCUCGCGACGAAGAGCACCACCGUGCUCCCCUUGGCCGUGGCCUUGGCCAGAUUGUGA